RNAcentral lists this long non-coding RNA (967 nucleotides) under Equus caballus (horse). RNAcentral's name for it is "lncRNA (ENSECAG00000049313.1)". Lineage: Eukaryota; Metazoa; Chordata; Mammalia; Perissodactyla; Equidae. The record is from RNAcentral.
GGUGAAGGAUGGGUCCUAUCCAGUAACAGCUGCCACUCACUGAGGGUUUAUCAUGUGCCAGGCUUUGGUCUAAGCACUUUUCAUGUAGUAACUCAUUGAGCCCUCAAUGCAACUCUACCUAUUAUUUCCCAGGACCCGUAUUUAUAACCACUAACCCCCGCUUUCCAUAUUGGUGCGGAAGAUGGGGGAGCAUUCUAGAGAGAAGGCGUCGUAGUUGCGCAGGAGUUGGAGGCUGCCUCACAGAAAGCAGAGGAGAGAGGUGGGAAGUGGCAUGAUUAGAUUUGAGUUUUCAAAGAUCACUUUGGCUGCUGUGUGGACACUGGAAAGUGGGAGAGCAGGGGUGAUGUGAAGAGACCAGACGGGAUACCACUCCUGUCCUCCAGGGUAGGGCUUGGACUAGAGUGGCAGUCCUGGAAAUGGAGACGAAUGGGUGAAUUCAGAUGAGGAAACCAUAUCCCAGGAGGGUGAAGUGGCUUGCCCAUCAUCUCAGAAGCACGACCAGUCUCUCAGCCUCCUGACAUCACAUCCAGCACUCCUACCAUACCACACUGGAAAACUGGAACUGGAGGAAGAGCAAGCACACAGGGAAGAAAAAGGACAAGAAAAGUGAGAGAGUGUGCAAGUGGGAGGAGAGAGAGAGAAAAGCGCAGGGAAGGGUCAAGGAAAAUAGAAGGCAACCAAGAUGGAAUGAGAAGAAAAUGACAGCAGCUGUCAGGGCACCAGUGGCAGCAGUUGGAGCAGCUGCCUGCGCCACCUGAGCCACAGGAACAACGGCAAGGGAAGUGCAGAUGGGCAGGAAGCCACUCUGGGUCAGAGCCAGAAACAUGGAGUGCUGGACAGACUUUGCAAAAGGUGGUGGUGAUGUGCACUGAAGAGGUGCAGAUGGACGGCGCUUGGCCUGGGAAGAUGAAGCUGAUGGGGUGAGGUGAGCCUUUGCUCUUCCAAGCCCCUGUCUGGCCCCCUCAGC